CAAGGUGAAACCUAAUUGGCCUGAAGAAGAGCUUGCGUCUGAUUAGCUAGUUGGUGGGGUAAAGGCCUACCAAGGCAACGAUCAGUAGCUGGUCUGAGAGGAUGAGCAGCCACACUGGGACUGAGACACGGCCCAGACUCCUACGGGAGGCAGCAGUGGGGAAUUUUCCGCAAUGGGCGAAAGCCUGACGGAGCAACGCCGCGUGAGGGAGGAAGGUCUUUGGAUUGUAAACCUCUUUUCUCAAGGAAGAAGUUCUGACGGUACUUGAGGAAUCAGCCUCGGCUAACUCCGUGCCAGCAGCCGCGGUAAUACGGGGGAGGCAAGCGUUAUCCGGAAUUAUUGGGCGUAAAGCGUCCGCAGGUGGUCAGCCAAGUCUGCC
This 379-nucleotide ribosomal RNA is filed under the name Microcystis aeruginosa. RNAcentral describes it as "bacterial SSU rRNA". It matches the Rfam family "Bacterial small subunit ribosomal RNA", at positions 196 to 593 of the family's 1533-position model. The record is from RNAcentral. Lineage: Bacteria; Bacillati; Cyanobacteriota; Cyanophyceae; Chroococcales; Microcystaceae. RNAcentral also lists the same sequence under 1 other name.